UUCCUCUGGCUUCAUGGCUCUAUUCCCCAGACCUCUAACUUAGGCCCUGGCUUCAGGGCAGAAAUGGUACCUGCAUGAACUUCUAGAGCUGUUGGAUUUUGAGUGUUCCUGGUAUGGGGUCUCAGGAAGAUCAUGUAUUAAUCAGCUUGGGCUGCCAAAGCAAAAUACCAGAGACUGAGUGGCUUACACACCAGAAACCUACUUCUAAUAGUUCUGGAAGUCUAAGAUCAAGAGGGAGGUGCCUGGGGCUGGGAAGCACAACCUGGAUCUCAGGAAUGUUCAAGUCUUCCACCAGAACUGUAUUUUCACAGCUAUCAUGGAGAUCACAUUGCUUCUGCUUUCCUCUCUGAAAGGAGUUACCCCACCAGCAACUAAUAGUGAAUUAUCCACCAAUCCAAGGAUAUAGUGGCCCAGAACAAGAUUUGAG
Molecule: long non-coding RNA, 427 nt
Organism: Canis lupus familiaris (dog)
Lineage: Eukaryota; Metazoa; Chordata; Mammalia; Carnivora; Canidae
Exons: 3
Source: RefSeq, a predicted model, not a curated record